Molecule: non-coding RNA, 217 nt
Organism: Pelobates cultripes (western spadefoot toad)
Lineage: Eukaryota; Metazoa; Chordata; Amphibia; Anura; Pelobatidae
Source: the annotation of a GenBank genome assembly
GCUGCUGGACCGCCUUUCUUUAUCUCUGUUGGUCACGUCUCACUUGAUCUUUGAAUAAAACCAACAUUUAGUUGCUAUUUUUAUCAUAUUUCCAUCGGUAUUAUCAUGUUUUGGUGCCACUGGCAGAACUCUGAACCCCAAACCAUAUAAAAAAAAUAAAUAAAAAAAGCACGUCCAUCUUGCUAGUCGUUUGCUUGAUUAUCCCCUUAAGGACCGG